AAAUUAUUUCGGAAUCCAAUCUUGGGUUCCUAACACUAUCCAAAAUCCGUUAGGCCUCCCGCUAUUGUGCCACUUGGGUCACGCUUCAAUGUCCAAUCUUGGGCGUGAGGUGGGUGUGUUAAGUGUGGAGAUAUGAAAUGAAAAUGUGUUUAUAAGUGAGGGCAUCCCUCACUUUACAAGACCAGCUUUUGGUUAAGACUAUCAACAAUUUAUUUUUAUUGGAAACAUGAAUCAGUUUCUUGUAUUGGUUGGAAAGUUGAGCUUUGAUAGCAUGUAACAUGCAUUACUUGCAAAUUUUGAUUUCCUUUGCAAUAAAUCAAUCAUAAAAUUACUCUACUUUGGUAACAAGUGAAUUCAUUAAAUUUCUAUGUUGCUCAUGGACCAAUUUUAAUUCUUUUUGUUUUCUGUAUUUCAGGCUCAAAAAGCAGAACGUGAUGCUAGUGAUCUAAAGGGCAUGAUGAGGAAAAGGAUGGAAUUUCUUGAUUUUGACUGAGACUUCCUACAAUCAUAAUAAUCAAGCUGGUCUCAUCUGCAAAUUUUAAUGCAGCUGUGACUCAUGUUGGACAACAAUGGGUGGAGUGGAAGAAUAAGUAUGGUAGAUGUGCAUUUGUGUUCUUUAGAAACCAGAGAGACAUGAGACCAAAUACUUUGCAGCUAGCAAUUUACUUUUUUUUUUUUUUUUUUUUGUAACCGAGGUCGAAAUUAGUAAUUUAUGUUUUGGCUUCUUAGAGCUACCAGCAAUCAUCAUGAUUCAUGCAUGCCUUAUUGUUGCAUGUGGAUUUUAUGUUAAUGCAUUUCGAGAUAUAUGUUAUGUUAUUGAGUUCUUAAAUUCUAUAGUUUGGUAUUAGAUAAUCUGACAUAGUGGUGGAUACUUGUUUGUGCCCAUUUACAAUGCAUUUUUUCUUUCUUUCAAAGUAUUUUUAUUUUAAGUUUGUGCUUUCUGCAGCUGUUAUAUGCAUGGUUUACCUUUCUCUUUAGUGUUAACUGUUGUAUGAUAAAUUUGAAGGUGAAAAUUUUCUUAAUGGUUUUUGCAAUAAUGUAACAGUCUCAGUCUCGUUGUCC
RNAcentral lists this long non-coding RNA (1062 nucleotides) under Cicer arietinum (chickpea). Its description in RNAcentral is "long non-coding RNA (CARI_LNC000177)". Lineage: Eukaryota; Viridiplantae; Streptophyta; Magnoliopsida; Fabales; Fabaceae. The record is from RNAcentral.